CAGAAACCUUUCUUCCUCGCACACGUCUCCUCCUUAUCUCUUCCUCACUCGCCUCGUCUUCUCUCCCCUGGGUCGCCGACGCCGCAGAUCUUGCGUUGUCGCCUCUCCCCGCAUGUCGCCUCCUCCAUCCCCCUUUCCCUCGCAGCCCCACACCCCACUCAUCUCAUAUCCUACCCAUUUUUUACUCAAUAACGAAUCUAGAUCCAUGGAGGCAGAUGACAGAGUCCGUAUGGUCGAUGGCAUCGGGGAGGAGACAGAGCGAUAGGACCGGUUCUAUUAUGCAGGGUGGAGCGGCGGCUGAAACGGGUGACCGGCGUGAGAGGGUGGGGUGAGGAUGAGGUCCUUUCUUUUGGCCAGGACCCGAGGAGGUAGGCGAAGAAUAAGAAGAAGAACCGACACAAGAAGAGUAAGAAGAAGCAGCGGAAGGAGGACACAAGCGCCAACAAGGAGGAGUACGAUUUCUUCUUGUGGCAAGGAGAGAAACACGCAAUCAAUAAGGUCAUUUUCGGGCACACUCUUUGAAACUUUUGUGCUCAUGCGUAUGAUGCUGGCAACCAGGUUCCUCCACUGCAUCCACCCGCUGUGAAGAUAUCACAUUUGGUUCCAAAUUAGUGCUAUGAUGUAUGCUUUAAGAAGUGAAGAUCAAUACAGUGGCUGAGGGUUGUGUGUGUUGGCUGUGGGGGUUGUAGCUGAGGUGGCAGCGACCAUUGCUAGCUAGAGGUAUUGACAUGCGUUAGCGUGCAACUGGAGCACAGAAGGGCAUGGUCGGAGGCAAGAAAUAAAGGACUCUCUAAAGUGUAGUAUGAAUCUCUCCCUGCAAUAUUAGCUUAAUGCACUUGGUUUUCUAGGUUGCAGAGCAUACUAUUUCUGUUACAUGUUUUACUUCACUAUUUUUUUAAAAAAAUUGGAGAGAUGAUUCCAGUACUCUCUACCAAUGUGAUGUUAGAAUCAAGAUGCAUGUGUCACUCGUUCCAUCAAGUUUAUAAUGAAUUUUCUAUUUUGUUGCUGAUGAUCUGAAAUCCCCGGUUUAUCCUUGCUCAAUGUUGCUUAAUAUACAUUUGUUAUUUUGAGUCUGAUGCAAUAACAAUACAUGGUG
This is a long non-coding RNA of Hordeum vulgare subsp. vulgare (domesticated barley), 1096 nucleotides long. RefSeq lists it as uncharacterized. The record is from RefSeq and is a predicted model, not a curated record. Lineage: Eukaryota; Viridiplantae; Streptophyta; Magnoliopsida; Poales; Poaceae. The transcript has 4 exons.